GUCUAUGGCCAUACCACCCUGAUCCCAAUGUCGUCUGAGCUUGUGAAGCUAAGCAGGGGCCGGCCUGGUUAGUACUUGGAUGGGAGAAGCCCAAGUGACCUUUCUUU
This 107-nucleotide ribosomal RNA is filed under the name Prolemur simus (greater bamboo lemur). Lineage: Eukaryota; Metazoa; Chordata; Mammalia; Primates; Lemuridae. The record is from RNAcentral.